This 317-nucleotide ribosomal RNA is filed under the name uncultured Bacteroidales bacterium. RNAcentral describes it as "bacterial SSU rRNA". It matches the Rfam family "Bacterial small subunit ribosomal RNA", at positions 28 to 339 of the family's 1533-position model. The record is from RNAcentral. Lineage: Bacteria; Pseudomonadati; Bacteroidota; Bacteroidia; Bacteroidales.
GAUGAACGCUAGCGGCAGGCCUAACACAUGCAAGUCGAGGGGCAGCGGGGUGUAGCAAUACACUGCCGGCGACCGGCGCACGGGUGCGUAACGCGUAUGCAACCUGCCCGCGACAGGGGGAUAACCGGUGGAAACGCCGACUAAUACCCCGUAACGCACUGUCUCGCAUGGGAUGGUGCUGAAAGCCUCCGGGUGGUCGCGGAUGGGCAUGCGUGGCAUUAGGCAGCAGGCGGGGUGACGGCCCACCUGGCCUUCGAUCAGUAGGGGUUCUGAGAGGAAGGUCCCCCACACUGGAACUGAGACACGGUCCAAACUCC